Molecule: unclassified non-coding RNA, 362 nt
Filed under: soil metagenome
Description: partial contains 5.8S ribosomal RNA, internal transcribed spacer 2, and large subunit ribosomal RNA
Rfam family: 5.8S ribosomal RNA (bases 1-120)
Source: RNAcentral
GAUGAAGAACGCAGCGUAAUGCGAUAAGUAAUGUGAAUUGCAGAAUUCAGUGAAUCAUUGAAUCUUUGAACGCACCUUGCGCUCCUUGGUAUUCCGAGGAGCAUGCCUGUUUGAGUGUCAUUAAUAUAUCAACCUUCUCUUUUUUGAGUUGUUUGGAUGUGGGGGUUUGCUGGCCUCUUAAAUGAUUCAGCUCCCCUGAAAUGCAUUAGCAGAACAACCUGUUCAUUGGCGUGAUAAUUAUCUAUGCUAUUGAAUGUGAGGGCAGUUCAGCUUUCUAACCGUCCUUGGACAAUUCAUCAUUAAUGUGACCUCAAAUCAGGUAGGACUACCCGCUGAACUUAAGCAUAUCAAUAAGCGGAGGA